UCUUGAGAAAAACGUUCACUCUUGCUUAUGUGAAGCUUGGGUAAGGUUGUGAAUAAAUAAUUGGAGCUUGGAAUUGUGGAUAUUGGAACUUGGAGGAAGCUGAGCCUAGUGUUUAUUGAAUUCUGGAAGGGCUGUGUUUGUUUUGGAAGGGCUGUGUUUAUUAUAAUUAAAGUGCCUUGAUCGUUAGGUGGGAAUCGGCCAAGAUCAAUAGGCAUCUCGUUAGGCGUCUGGGCUCUUGAAGCGAAGUGGUUACAGGGUUAUUUUGUUACGUUAUGAUGUAUAUAUAUGUACUUGGUUUUCUCUCCGCAUAGCUUGUUCUUUUGAUCUUCCUAGAGGUUUAUGGAGAGACAGGAUUGUGUAUAUGUACUUUUGGAUUUCGGAUAUGUAUGUCUAUAUGUGUAAAU
Arachis ipaensis is the source of this 404-nucleotide non-coding RNA. NCBI's taxonomy places the organism in Eukaryota, Viridiplantae, Streptophyta, Magnoliopsida, Fabales, Fabaceae. The record is from RefSeq and is a predicted model, not a curated record.